UACGUAGGGUCCGAGCGUUAAUCGGAAUUACUGGGCGUAAAGCGUGCGCAGGCGGUUGUGUAAGUCUGUCGUGAAAUCCCCGGGCUCAACCUGGGAAUUGCGAUGGAGACUGCACGGCUAGAGUGUGUCAGAGGGGGGUAGAAUUCCACGUGUAGCAGUGAAAUGCGUAGAUAUGUGGAGGAACACCGAUGGCGAAGGCAGCCCCCUGGGAUAACACUGACGCUCAUGCACGAAAGCGUGGGGAGCAAACAGG
Molecule: ribosomal RNA, 253 nt
Filed under: uncultured bacterium
Lineage: Bacteria
Description: partial 16S ribosomal RNA
Rfam family: Bacterial small subunit ribosomal RNA
Source: RNAcentral